This is a long non-coding RNA of Mauremys mutica (yellowpond turtle), 1268 nucleotides long. RefSeq lists it as uncharacterized. Lineage: Eukaryota; Metazoa; Chordata; Testudines; Geoemydidae. The transcript is spliced from 5 exons. The record is from RefSeq and is a predicted model, not a curated record.
AUUGGGUUAGGCUGGGUCGGGCCGCCAUUUUGGAUGCUAAGGCGUCUCGCUGCGGGAAGGUCUUAUCUCUGCCUGACUCCUCAAACAUCCAUGUCAAUGAACCUGCAUGCAGGAAAAGCACAUAAGUAUUCAAGAAAAUAUCACCUGAAUUGAAAAAAUGAAGAAUGAAACAUUUUUAAAAUGCGGAAGAAUUAGGUACAGUGCUCCUGUCAGCUAAUUUCUAAGUUAUUAUCUGCAAAAAAACCCCUAGAGUUUUCACGUGCCUCCAUAGCCCCUGGAAUCACAGUUAAAGUCCCUCCUCCCAAAAAAUCUGAAACGGCACCUCUGCAGUUGGACCUUUUGACAUCUGGGAAAGUGUGGAAAGACAGUUUAAAUUUAACCUAAUCACAAGAUCUUCCCUUAUCUCUGUCUACCAUAUGGUAGUCAUGGACAGCAGCCAAAAGUCUGUCUUCGUCAAAUGGUUUAUUAUGUCAAAGAACAAUGUGGCAUUAAGGCAACUCAUCUUCUAUUAUUCAAAACAUAUUCAAAAUGCCACUAGUACCAUGCAGCUCAGCCCAUCUGUGCAAAACAACAUUACAAGCUGCCUACCCAGUGUGCUGCUAGCUGACCAGAGGAGCUCACCAGGUGUCUCAUUAACCUCUGGUUUCAGUACAGCAGGGAGUGUGAUUUUUAGGAGAAGCAGCCAAAAUCUGCACUAGUAUGAGACCACCUUGAAGAGACUGGUCGAGGUGGGGAUCAGUUGGACUGGUAUUCAGUGCAGGGGGCACAUUGAAUGUAUAAAAACCCUCUAUCACAAGGCAAUAGCAAUGUGCUAUAUCUGUUCUUCUGAUAAACAAGGGACUUCAGUCUCCAGGACUGUGAAUGUGAAGCCUUCCACAAGCAAUGAAUCCACAUCCAAAUUGUAAAAAAGUAAAAGUUUUCAUUUCAAUUCUGAAGAUUAUUCCAGGGAUGCAGAGUAGCUGCAGGGGACUUCUGGACAAAUAAGUUCAGCUUGAGGCAGAAUGAACUUUUUCUGCUGAUUCCUUGUGCAGUUGAUGGGGGGAUGAUGGCAUCCCUCAGCUUUUCCCACCUGUUCCCAUGCAUACACUCAGUGGUUCUGGGCUACUGCCCCCUUUCUACACAGAAAGGGUGAUAUCUGCAUAGAGAAUCAUCUCUACUAAUGGAUCUCCAGGGCAUUAUAUGGCCUCAAGUUAAGGAUCUCAGUAUUUGUUCCUGAGAUUGUAUGCUUUGAGGGGACAUGACUGUAUCUGUCAUUUGUAAAUAAAGCA